This is a non-coding RNA of Oryzias latipes (Japanese medaka), 4077 nucleotides long. Lineage: Eukaryota; Metazoa; Chordata; Actinopteri; Beloniformes; Adrianichthyidae. The record is from RefSeq and is a predicted model, not a curated record.
GGGGGGGGGGGGGGGGGGGGGCAGAGAAGGAGAAAAGAGGAGAUGUGAACAGACAGGUAGAAUUAUUCUACAGAUAUCUCCCAUAUGAGCGGGGGCAGAGCCGUGACCAGCAGGAUAAUAGAGACACAUGGACAAAAGACCUCUGAAGCAGAGGCAGAUUCACGGCCAUCGAAGGUUAAGCCGCUCCACUGUUUUCAGGCCUCUCCGGAUUAACAUCCAUUCUCUCUGUAGUCUCUCCAAAUGCUGCAAGAAUGGAUCAAGCCCCAGGAUCUGCACCUCAGCUGGACUGAAGCACAGUGACACAUGAGCUUGAAGGGGUGUUCAGGGUCAUUUGCAGCUUUUGCUCUGCACGACGGCAGCAACUUUGAUGUCGGAGAGGGUUGAAAGACCAGUGAUGUUAGAAUUAGCACGUCUGUGGCUGUCUGGGACUGUCAGUGCCGUGAAACAGCAGAUGGAGUGUUGGAGGAUAAUUAGAGGAAGACAGACUCCGUGAGUCCUGAAAACAUGUUGAGUAGCCUGCUGGCUAAAAAGAGGCCUUUGAGUUAACAGACAGCAAAGAGGGGUUUGCCGGCUGCAUUGUAAGAGGUUUCCCAUCAAAUUUUAAUAGCAUUUGAAGCUCCCUUUAGUGUUCUCUGCUCGGUUCUGGAUUUCACUGGAGUUGGUUCACGGUCAGGUUAUUAUAAAUGACCUAUAAAGAGUUUUAAGCUGCAGACAGCAUAGCUAUGUGGACACCCUGAAAGUAAAAUCAAGCAGGAAUUAUCUAGCUCAAGGGUUAUUUGUAGCUGAUGCUAGGAACCUUUCAAUUCCUAUAGGUAUGGCAUGGUAGCAAAAGUUGACAGCAGACGACACACUGUGCUGGAUUUAGGCAUUUUGGACUCGUGGGCCACAAAGGGUUCUAAAAUUCGAUAGAAGGGUCAGACCAGGAGCAGAGUGUUUUGAUAAUCCACCUUGUAAGAGAAGGAAAUAAGGGCCUAAUGGUAAUUUUAUUUGCAGUGCACCAUUUAUGGUGAGACUCCAGAAUUACAGGGAAAAUUAACAUUAACAAGGAUUAUCAAUAUAUCAAUGGUGGGUUGAUUAGGUUGUUUAACAUGGAAGUAGUUUGGUGGGCUGUUUUUGUUGUUUUUUUAAUCUAAUUUUAAACUUCUUUUAUCUUUCUUUUAUUGUGAAGCACGUAGGUACCCUGAAUGAGUUGUAAAGUGCAGAGGAAUAAAAUGCCAUUCAUUUAUCUAUUCAUUCAUUCAUAAUCCUUUUAAUAAAACAACACUACUUAUGAAAUUGAAAAUAACCAAACAACUCUCUCUGUGAUCUUCAAAGAAAAAAGUCAGAAAAUUAACACCAAUGGGCUACACUUCAAAAAUAUAACCAAGACAGGUUGUCUUCUCUGUCAUAGUCCCAUUGAGACUUUGGAGGGCUGCAGCUCCUCACACAUCUCACAUUUUGUGCUAAACUUCAUGAAUAAAACUGAGCAUCUGCACUGUGUCCUGCACAACUGGGAAGUCAAAUUAUUUUGUCUCCUGCUGCAUCUGGGCAGAAAUAUGCAUUAUUUCAUCAGUCCCUCGUUUUUUGACGGAGUUACGUUAAAAAAUUAACCUGUGAUUGAUAAAAUCCGCGAACUCCUCACUACACACUUCCUACACUUUUCUCAGACAGACUUGAACAUUUUCACACUUUUUUCUCUUGUUUAAACUCUCAAAGUUCAGACCUUCUUAAGAGUUAAGUGCAGGAUAACAGAAUGAAAACAAAGAUCUGAUCACAAUCAAAGAUUUGGACAGCUGCAUCUGACUGUACAUGAGACACGGCACGGAGGAGAUUGAUUGACAGGGUCUCCAGCCAGAAACAGAAAUUAAAUCUCAUGUUCUAUGCAGGUCUCAAUUGUAUGAAACAGAUUGAAAGAAAAACAAUAAAACAUGAAUCUCUGAUAUUGUUUAGCUGGCAUAACCAAACGUGGCGGCAGGCCGGGGGCCAUAGUUUGUCCGCCCCUUUCAUAGGUCAUGUAGCUCUGCUUUUUUUUUUCCAUUUAUACUAAUUAUUUCCCCUUAGCAGGGUCCACAUUGUUUUCACAAUUCUUCUUUCUUACUGCACAUUUGAGCCCCUGCCACAUACCAAAAUCAUUUAUGGGGCUCAAAAGAAAUAUCUCAAAAUCUAUGAACAAAACCAAAGCACAGGUGUCGGCCAUAUCUAAAGGAAGUUUUAAAAUUACUGUAAUAUGGCAUCUAAUUAGAAAAGCAGCUAUACGGCAAAUCAAGUUUCAUGUUAGGUUUUUUCCACAAAGCUCCUCAAUUAAGCGAGGAAAUUAAUAAAUAAACCUCAGACGCCAUGUUGAAGUCUGCUUAAAAUGUUUGGAUACAAGAAAUGAUUCUUCAAUCCUUCACAGCCAAAACAGAUACGUCUUGAGCAUCUUGAUCCAUCCAAUAAGUCUUGGUGUUAGCUUUUCUUUUUUUUUGUUCUGUCCAAAAACUGAGCGAACAGAUGAGAGCUGAAGGCCUUUUGUGUUGGACAGGUUUAAGUAUUAUAGAAAGAGGUUAUGUAUUUUCAGGUAACCAGGGUGUAAAUUUGUAUAAACCCCCUUUUGUUUUUCAAUUAUUUUUCAUUAGACCAGCCAGACAAGGAGAGAGGGGCAGACCCCCGGACCAGGAGCACCCCCAACGACGGGACCCACGGGCGAGGGAGGACCGCCCACCCACCCAGCCAGAUGCAAAGGGGGCCCCCCUACAUGGGGCCCUCCGGCACCAGGAGGCAUAGGCGAGCCAGCGUCAGGACCCCUAGGCCACAGGACAGGGGACAGGGGGGUCCUGUGGCCUGUACCCGGCAGCAGCCAUUUGGCCACCGGGUGCCGGACACCAAGACAAAGCCAGGAGCCGCCCACUACCCAGCCGGAUCCUCGUCUCAGCAGGCCAGCCCCGGCGCCCAACCCAAGCAGCCCAAAGAUCACGACGCAACCACAACUCCACCCCUACCUCCCCACACUACACUACCCUACACACAUUUUUCUGGUUGCCCCCUGCCCCCCCAUCGCCUACGAACCCCCUGUACCGCACGCAUGGCCACCGCUUCGGCCAACAGGCGGUGCUAGCUUUUCUAAGCUGCACAACAGACAUUUUUAAAAUUUCACUGGAAAAAAUGCUUUUGCAACCAUUUCACUUUGGUCCCGUACUGCCCUCUGUGCCUCCUAUAGCUCACCACACUGACGAAUUUUCUGACAUCAGAGGUUCAGAGUGAACUCUGGAAGAAAAGUGCCAAACUGAAGGGAUAAAGUCAGAUAAACUGCUCCAAAUUAAUUUUUGGAAACACUAAGAACUUAGAAACUUGACUUCAAACUUGACGAUGUUUCGCACUAAUAACUCAUACAUUUACAUUAUGCAUUAAGUGCUCUAUAUUUUGUGCCAUAAAAACACAUGAAAUAUAAAAAUAUAGAGAAAUAUUAAUUAUUAUUCUACAUGUUAACUCUGUAUGGUUUUGUUCCCCAGACCAUUUUACAUCACUUUUUUUGCUUUGACAUUUAGCUACUGAAAAAUUAAUAACAACACAAUGAUGUUUAUGAUGAGUUUUUAAAUUAAUAAAUCAAUUUCCUUCAUGGCCCAAGUUUUAACUAAGAUGUAAUAAAUGAGUUUUAUUCUUUCUGUUUUGUCUAAAAAACUAUUAGUUUUGGUUGUUUAUUCUUCAUUUCUCCUGUCAUCAUAACUGCUUUACUGACAAAUGAAUGUUGCAGUGAUGGUUGGGAAACAUGUGUUUAUGAUGUAUCAUAAAAGUAUCAAGAUUUGUUAAAAAAAAUGUAUUUUAAUAACAGAUAAAUUUAAAUGUUAGAAAGGUUUAAUUUAGCCGGCCUAUCUCCUUUUUCUUUGGCUUUUUCUUAUCAAGAUAAACAACUGGACUUUAUCAAAUGAUCUAAAUAUUCCCUGCAUGUUUUUAAUCACAUUUUAGGCUGCUGAAGACACCUCAGAUUCAGGGCGCUGAUAACACUUACCAGUUUUGUGUUGUAUGUUUUUUUUGGCUGGCAACAACAACAAACACAAAAAAACCAAAAAAAAAAGGGGGAAGCGGGGGGCUAGUACACCGAUAUUACAAUAUAAACCCAGA